RNAcentral lists this non-coding RNA (457 nucleotides) under Pan troglodytes (chimpanzee). Lineage: Eukaryota; Metazoa; Chordata; Mammalia; Primates; Hominidae. The record is from RNAcentral.
GCCGCCGCCGCCUCCGCCCCGCCGCUUCCUCCUCCGCCGCCGGCCUCCUUCGCCCCGCCCGUCCGCGCAGCGCGUCCGGCCCGCCCGCAGGCCAGCUUCUCUCGGGAGCCCCCACCCAGGCUCAUGGCUCCAUGAAGCAAGAGGAGGAGGCAGAGCGCGAGAGGUCCGUCCGCCCCAGCCGCGUCUGGGCCAGGAGAAAAGCAAAACCAUAUUCCUGCUGCUGUCAGUUAUGAUGCACUGAGAAAACUUCAGAGACCUAAGCUUUUUCCAGAGAAGAGAAGCUUUACUGGUGUUCCAGCCCUAAGAAACCUUUGUUCAACAAAACUGCAGAUGCUCUGUUGAAUCCACUGGAGAUUGUCCUCAUACUAAGGACAAGUAUGCUCAUAUGACAUUAACAGACAAGACACUUUUCAGAAAGACAGGCAACGUGUUGGACCUUCCUGAGCUUCUCAGAAGA